AAGUCGUAACAAGGUUUCCGUAGGUGAACCUGCGGAAGGAUCAUUAACACGUAUCCACGUAUCAACACUCUGUGAACUAAACUCUCCCUGAUUUUAGAAAAUUGUUAACAUAAUUAAUGGUGGGUGUAUAGCCUAAAAAACUAUACGCAAUUAUGUUGACUAGGGUUUCGAACCCGGUAUUUUCUUUAAUUGGGCUUAUCAUUUCCUCCAUUACCAAAACAACCAUUAUCACUCUAUAAAACAUUUUGACUGAUGUACUUAUGUAAGAGAAAUCUGGCAUGAGUUUUUAUCUAAACUAAGCACAACUCUUAGCAAUGGAUAUCUUGGUUCUC
Molecule: unclassified non-coding RNA, 332 nt
Filed under: fungal sp.
Lineage: Eukaryota; Fungi
Also listed under: 1 other name
Description: partial internal transcribed spacer region
Rfam family: Eukaryotic small subunit ribosomal RNA (bases 1-46)
Source: RNAcentral